GAGACAAACAACUGCGAAAGCAUUUGCCUAAAAUACUUCCAUUAAUCAAGAACGAAAGUUAAGGGAGUGAAGACGAUCAGAUACCGUCGUAAUCUUAACCAUAAACUAUGCCGACUAGGCUUUGGAUGAAAGAUUUUAAAAUAAGAAUUUUCUCUUCGGAGUUUAUUCUUAGAUUGCUUCCUUCAGUGCCUUAUGAGAAAUCAAAGUCUUUGGGUUCUGGGGCGAGUAUUCGCGCAAGCGAGAAAGUUAAAAGAAUUGACGGAAGGGCACCACCAGGCGUGGAGCUUGCG
RNAcentral lists this ribosomal RNA (290 nucleotides) under Plasmodium vivax (malaria parasite P. vivax). RNAcentral describes it as "partial 18S small subunit ribosomal RNA". It matches the Rfam family "Eukaryotic small subunit ribosomal RNA", at positions 932 to 1187 of the family's 1831-position model. Lineage: Eukaryota; Apicomplexa; Aconoidasida; Haemosporida; Plasmodiidae. The record is from RNAcentral.